AUUGAACGCUGGCGGCGGGCCUAACACAUGCAAGUCGAGCGGAUGAAGGGAGCUUGCUCCUGGAUUCAGCGGCGGACGGGUGAGUAAUGCCUAGGAAUCUGCCUGGUAGUGGGGGAUAACGUCCGGAAACGGGCGCUAAUACCGCAUACGUCCUGAGGGAGAAAGUCGGGGAUCUUCGGACCUCACGCUAUCAGAUGAGCCUAGGUCGGAUUAGCUAGUUGGUGGGGUAAAGGCCUACCAAGGCGACGAUCCGUAACUGGUCUGAGAGGAUGAUCAGUCACACUGGAACUGAGACACGGUCCAGACUCCUACGGGAGGCAGCAGUGGGGAAUAUUGGACAAUGGGCGAAAGCCUGAUCCAGCCAUGCCGCGUGUGUGAAGAAGGUCUUCGGAUUGUAAAGCACUUUAAGUUGGGAGGAAGGGCAGUAAGUUAAUACCUUGCUGUUUUGACGUUACCAACAGAAUAAGCACCGGCUAACUUCGUG
RNAcentral lists this ribosomal RNA (484 nucleotides) under uncultured bacterium. RNAcentral describes it as "partial 16S ribosomal RNA". It matches the Rfam family "Bacterial small subunit ribosomal RNA", at positions 30 to 507 of the family's 1533-position model. The record is from RNAcentral.